CCUGAUGCAGCCUGCCGCGUGUGUGAAGAAGGCCUUCGGGUUGUAAAGCACUUUAGCGUGAGGAAAGGGUAGUAGCUAAUAACUGCUAUCUGUGACGUUAGCGACAGAAGAAGCACCGGCUAACUCCGUGCCAGCAGCCGCGGUAAUACGGAGGGUGCGAGCGUUAAUCGGAAUUACUGGGCGUAAAGCGUGCGUAGGCGGUUUGUUAAGCGAGAUGUGAAAGCCCAGGGCUCAACCUUGGAACUGCAUUUCGAACUGGCAGGCUAGAGUACUGUAGAGGGUGGUGGAAUUUCCAGUGUAGCGGUGAAAUGCGUAGAGAUUGGAAGGAACAUCAGUGGCGAAGGCGGCCACCUGGACAGAUACUGACGCUGAGGCACGAAAGCGUGGGGAGCACGGUUAGAUACCCUGGUAGUCCACGCCGUAACGGCCCUCUGUGUACUUGAUACGUGGGUAGCGUAGCUAACGCGCUAAGUGACCGCCUG
RNAcentral lists this ribosomal RNA (482 nucleotides) under Thalassomonas sp. 2S41. RNAcentral's name for it is "bacterial SSU rRNA". It matches the Rfam family "Bacterial small subunit ribosomal RNA", at positions 382 to 875 of the family's 1533-position model. The record is from RNAcentral. Lineage: Bacteria; Pseudomonadati; Pseudomonadota; Gammaproteobacteria; Alteromonadales; Colwelliaceae.